Collybia nuda is the source of this 74-nucleotide non-coding RNA. The record is from the annotation of a GenBank genome assembly. Lineage: Eukaryota; Fungi; Basidiomycota; Agaricomycetes; Agaricales; Clitocybaceae.
GGCUGACUAACACAGAGGGUUAGAGCGUCGCGCUAGUUAUGCGAAGCUCUUCGGUUCGAUCCCUACGUUGGCCA